UGGUUUUACUGAAUGGCUAACCCAUAUGAUAUUGCCUGUUUGAUUGGUUUUGACCUACAAGUAAACACUACACUAUCAGCUUUCUCCAAGGAUACCAUAGAUCUACCUUCAGGAAAUGCAUUCCAGUCUACACCUGUGAAGCUACUCACCAUGGUAACUGGGAUUGGAUUUCAGGUUGCCAUGGUUUGGAUCUUAAAUGUCUUCCAAAGGCCCAUGUGUUGAAAGGUUGGUCCCCAGACUGUGGCAUUACUAAAAGGGGGUGGAAAAUUUAGCAGGUGGGGCCUAGUGGGAUAGGUCACGGGGGCAUGAGAUAUUGGGACCCCCACCCCCUUCCUGCCUUUCUUUUUGCUUCCUGGCUGCUUUGAGGUCAAUAGUCUUCCUCCUCUGUGUGCUCCCUCCUUGGUAUACUGUGUCACAGAGUCCCCCAAAACUGGGCCUAGCGACUAAGGACUGAAACCUCAGAAACCACAGCCAAAAUCAGUCCUCCUUCAUAUAAGUUGAUUAUUUCAGGUAUUUUGUCUCAGUGACGGAAAAUGGACUAACGUGCAGGUACAGAUCCAACCUGCUUCUCCUAAAGCAUCCCUUUUCAAAUUGCCCAUUAGCACUUUGUUUCCUUCCCCCUUGAUUUCACAUAACUAUUUUAAGAUUCUUGAAUUUUUUAUCCUAUUUAUUACUAUAGAUAAAAAUCAGCUCCUUAAAGUCACCGAAUAUCUCUGAUCAAAUUCUGGAUAGUUUUGUCCCAUUCAAAUAAACUGUUUAGUUUUCAGAAGAAAGAAAAAGGCAAAGAUUCCCUUUAAAAAAGUAAUCCAUGGAUUAGUAAUGUUAUGAAUUCAGUACGCAUUAACUUGUAUGCUUUUUCAAAUUCCACAGAUCAGUGGGGAGAGCGCAUUGUACCUUUGAGCUAAGUGUGAUUACAAACCAGGCCUUUGCUACAUGGAAGUGGUUUAUCUGGGCCUGUCAAGGAAGUUUUCUUUCGCAUCCGAGGAAGAGAAAGAUCAGGAACCAUAAAGAUGCCAGAAAAUAUAGCUUAGCGCUGCAGUUCUCAGAAUAUGAUUCUGAAGUAGCAUCAUCCAAAUCUCCUGGGGUGGUGACUAGGGUCACAGUUCGGUGACAGAGUACUUGCAAGCCUGUCCAAGGGCUGGGUUUCAUCCUCCACACUGCACACACACCUGUUUAUGUUUAAUUUGACCCAAAUGUGAUCAUUACACAUUGUAUACAUGUAUUAAGUUAUCACCAUAAAUAUGUGCAAAUUUAUG
Molecule: long non-coding RNA, 1256 nt
Filed under: Fukomys damarensis (Damara mole-rat)
Lineage: Eukaryota; Metazoa; Chordata; Mammalia; Rodentia; Bathyergidae
Description: lncRNA (ENSFDAG00000032411.1)
Source: RNAcentral